AACGCACCUUGCGCUCCUUGGUAUUCCGAGGAGCAUGCCUGUUUGAGUGUCAUUAAAUUCUCAACCUCACGAACUUUGUUGUGUGAAGGCUUGGAUGUGGGGGUUUGCAGGUCCGCACUCGUGUGGUCUGCUCCUCUAAAACGUAUUAGUGGGUUAGUCCCCUAAUCUAUUGGUGUGAUAAUUAUCUACGCCGUGGAUUUGGAAGGCUAUCAUAGACCUGCUUCUAACCGUCCUCUGGACAACUUUGACAAUUUUGACCUCAAAUCAGGUAAGACUACCCGCUGAACUUAA
Molecule: unclassified non-coding RNA, 291 nt
Filed under: uncultured Psathyrellaceae
Lineage: Eukaryota; Fungi; Basidiomycota; Agaricomycetes; Agaricales; Psathyrellaceae
Description: sequence contains ITS2
Rfam family: 5.8S ribosomal RNA (bases 1-52)
Source: RNAcentral